Molecule: long non-coding RNA, 1910 nt
Organism: Equus caballus (horse)
Lineage: Eukaryota; Metazoa; Chordata; Mammalia; Perissodactyla; Equidae
Source: Ensembl
CUUGUUCCAAAUAAUUUUGUUUACAUUACCUACAAAAACUUCAUGAGACAUUAGACAAAGGCAGCCGUCACUUUUCUGCUGACAAAUUUUGUAGCAGAGAUAAUGUAAACUUGUUUGAUUUUUAGUAAAGCUAGGUAGAACAAGUUUUCUAUUUUAUGCUGGGAACUCUCAGGACAUGCCUAUUUUAAUUAACCCAACAAACUUAGACAAGCUUUUAUUUACCAAAGAUUAUUUUAUAUCACGUUAACUUGACAAACAUUUAGAUUAGUUUCUAUUGUCGACAAAAAAUAAUCCAUAACCAAUCUAUAAAUGCAAAUUUGGGUGAUUUAUUCUGAGCUUAAAUCUUAGGAUUAUAACCUGGGAGAGUCUUUCCACAAAGGAACAGAGCACUCCAAAGAAGUGGGGGUACACAGGGCGGUUAUAUACCCUCAAAGAGGGUGUUUCACAUAUGAUUGAAAUGUCCCUCCCACAAUAGUCACAAGAUUGCCCUGUCAGCACUUGAUGGACACAGCAGGUAGUGGGUCUGCUAUCUCGGUGGGCAUAGCAGGAGGCAAGUCUAUUGUCUGGAGCUGGGCGGUCACAGGUGAGUGCAGUAAUGAGUUCCUAGCCUAAGGAAAGAUGCUUAAUCCUUAAAGAAAUGCCAACAUUGGGAGGGGGAGGGAAGUCAGUUACAGGAGGUUACCAGACUAGCACAAUAAAAUGCAGAUUUAAGUCCUUGCCUUUGGUAUUGAUUAAGAGUUUCUAGAGAGAAGGGCAUCUCCUUUCUUCUUCCUGGUACAGAGAGGGAGGCACAUAUUACAGAUGGAGAUUUACCUUACAAAUGUAAACGUGUCCUAACAAAGGGCAAGUUCCAUUCCUCAGAGCCUUCUUCCCUGUCCCAGUUUAUCAAAAGCAAUCAGCUUCAAAUAAUCCUGAUACCAAAGAGACAUAUCUUGGGGUGGCCAAUUUCAGGUCCCUACACAACCAAACUUUCAAUAAAACUAUUGUGGAAUUUUGAAGCCUUUGCUUUUAACUGCAUGCACUUUUAAAUGAUAGUAUCAAAUCAGGAUGUUCCUUCUACUGCCAGUUGUAAUUUCAAAUCAUCCUUAGUAAUCUUGGUUCACUGGGAUUAAAAUUUACAAGAGAAGGGACCAUAUGUUUUCCACAGAAAACCAGCUGGAGAUCCUGAGGGAGGAACUUCUCAAGGAACUUCAGGAAAUAAGAGUCCCAUGUUAAAGAAAAGGGGGCAAACAAAACAGUAAGAAUGACAACAGGGAAACCCAUCAAUUAUGUCAGAGUGCUCACCAAGCAGGGGGGAGAAAACUCUGCAAGGGAAGUCCUUCCUGGGGCAAUGACCUUGAGCCAAAAAAGCCACACUGGCACUGAGACAAUUGUCUCAUAGGCAGUCAACCAUCCCCAAAAAGACACUGAACUCAACGAAGUGGAAGGAGGUCAGAACCUGGGAGGGCUCCCAAUUGCAGGAGCCACAGGUCCCUGGAAACCGUCAGCACAAGGGGCUCGUGUAGGAACCAUAUCCGGUUCCUGAGGAUGCCGGUCCACAAAGGGGAGAUUGCUUCAGGUCCUGCUCCUGGCACGUGUAUAUUAACGUCAAAGCAAAGAGCCAAACUGAGAGGCAGAAAGGUGCUCAUUCUGGGUUCAAAGAAUUACAAUUAGGGGUACACAGAUUUGAGUAGCAACUGGAAAUAGCAUCCCGCUGGGACUAAGAAACCAGGGCUUUUAAAGGCAAAAGAGGGAGAUUUGCAUUACAAAGAACGUUAAUUGGACUCAGUGACAGAAACUUAAUUUUGACUAAACAUAAUUAAUUGCUAAGGCUGACUACAAAGAGGCAAAAGUCUGUCACUGUGACAAGUUGCAGGUUUAUUGCAGGAUUCUCAGAAUAUUUGAGUCUUGACUGAGUUCAAAAGAUCAUA